Long non-coding RNA from Betta splendens (Siamese fighting fish), 1731 nucleotides. RefSeq lists it as uncharacterized. The record is from RefSeq and is a predicted model, not a curated record. Lineage: Eukaryota; Metazoa; Chordata; Actinopteri; Anabantiformes; Osphronemidae. The transcript has 3 exons.
UUCUGUGUCAGUCUGAGAUGAGUUUGGUUUCACGUGCCACCUGUUGGAGAACACACUCUUUAGGUGAAGGCCCGUCACACGGAGCGGCCGGUUUGUCUGGAGAGCGCGUGCAAACCUUGUGGGGGAGCGUCUGCUUCAACGCUCACCCAGCCUGAACUUGGUGGAUGACUCCAACAAACUGCUUUCAUUCCUGCGGAGGCUGUGAAUGCAGUGAGCCUCAAACCUACGUGACCUUGGAUGCAUCUGCUGCCUCAUCUCUGCUGGGACUAAACGCCUGGAGCUGAAUCAAGUGCUGGAAAUAAAGAUUUCCCACCCAUCAGAACUGGUAGAAUGCUCAUUUAAAAGAGUCUCUGCAGACACAAAGAUGAAGUUGUGGGUGAAAUGAAGGGUGAGUUUGUGUUUAACCCCAUGGUUUGUGCUCUUCGUGCCGCACACACAAGCUUUUCUCACAACAUUUAAAUACUCCUGACUGUAAACUUUCAGACAGGGUUCUGAACUGAAUGUGCUCUGCUGAAAUGUGGCAGCUUGGCCCAUUUCUCUAAAUGGUACUUUCCCUUUGCCAAUCAUUCUUUCUCAUUUCCACUCUUCGUCUCGGUGCUGAGUUGGAGGAGGCACUUCUUUCAAAUGUCUGUCUGGAGGCAGAGACAAAGAGUGAGGCGAUAGAGAAAGGAGUCAGUGACAGUGAGCACUUCCAACUGCCAUCAAAGGCUAUUUUUUCUUAGAAAUGGAUGAGUCUGAGGAGCGGGUGUGCAGCCACUACAGGUCUGAGGAAGCCUGAGGUGAAGGGGAACAGACUCCAGCACUGAGGUGUGUCAUUAUGCAUCACCUUGUCUGUCCAUCUGCUUCCUUCUGUCUCUUUCCCUUUAGGUGCUAUCUGCACUGACGGUGACCUGUUUACAGCAAAUUGUUCAAACGCAUCACUUAAUGAAACAAAACAAUUAAAUAUCCUAGAUUUCAAUCCAUUAAAAUAAAUGCGUGGUCAACGUUACAGACCUCUGGACAGCCGUCAUCUCCUAGAGUAGGUUUUCUUUUGGUUAUAGUCAAGUCUCAUGGAUAUGUUGUGAUUUAUGCCUGAAAAACAGAUUCAGUCUGCAGAUCUGCAUCUCGCUUCCUGCUCAGUUUGUGCACACUCAAAUGUCAACCGCAGCAUUAAUGGAUGGAGUGUAAAAAGCUCAGAGAAGAGCGGGCCUCAGUUUGUGGAGUCAACACUUAGACACGGGAAAGUUAAAUAAGUGACACAUUCUGACCAUUAAAUUAUUAUAUAUUAUUUAUAUUAUAUCCUUCCAUCCACAUGGAUUAAACAUGGGCAUAUAGUUUGUACCAAACGGUGCAGUGUUGCAUUCAAAGGCCUCACAGUCACUUUGGUCUCUGUCGAUCAGUGGAAGCUUCACCCAGCGUCAGACCUUCAGACGCAGCUCAGGAGACGCCUGCUUUGUCAGAAGCAGUAUGUACCAGUGUAAACUGGAACUGUAGCGUGUCAAACUUGUCAGCAUUCAAAUUACAAGCGGAGCCCAUUCAUCCAUUCACACAAGUCAUGGCGGCAUGACUGAUUCCUAAGUGCAUUGGUGCUGCCGGCCUGGGCCACGUCUUUCCUGCCACUAUGAAAUCAGAGGCAACUGCUCGCCCCUGGCGAAGCUGUGUGUGUGUGUGUGUGUGUGUGUGUGUGUGUGUGUGUGUGUGUGUGUGUGCGUGCGUGCGUGCGUGUGUGUGUGUGUGUGUGUGUGUGUGUGU